CACCCAGUAACCAGUUACUGACACCCAGUAACCAGUUACUGACACCCAGUAACCAGUUACUGACCUGGUUACUGAUCCACAAUAAUCAGUUACUGACCCCUAAUAACUUGGUUACUAACCCCCAAUAAUCAGUUACUGACCCCCAGUAACUUGGUUACUGACCCCAGUAAUCAAUGACAAACAUCCGAUAAUCAUUAUUGGCAUUCAAUAAUCAAGUUACUGAAACUCAGUAAUCAAUUAUUGACUAUCAGUAAUCAAUUACUGACUACCAGUAAUCAAUUACUACCCCUCAAUUAUCAGUCAAAACAUAGAAAAAAGAAGAAGGUAGAAGAAGAAUAAGAAGAAGGUAAAUACUGACUUUAAUUUCAAUGAAAGUAUUGAUAAAUAACAGUGAAGUCAAAAUGAGAAUACAAGUUAACACCAAUCCAAGCUUCUCUGGUGAUUUGCCGGCCACGAUCGAUCUGAGGUUGGCGAUCAAAGAAAGAGAGAUGAGAGGUGAUAAUUUGAAACCGAUGGAGUAUAUAGGCGCUACACAUCUUGAUCUUCAUCAGCUAGCUUCAGGCGAGAGAGCGACUAGGCUUAGACAAGCGACGAGCGCCGAACGGUGAAUGGCGACUGACAAGCACCGAACAGCGACCGACGAGCGCCGAACAUCGACCAACGAGCGCCAAACGGCGACCGACGAGUGUCGAACAGCGACCAACGAGCGCCUAGGCCGAGCACCAAGAGACGAGCGGUGACCGAUGAGCGUCGAGAGACGAGCGGCCACCGAUGAGCGGCGUGCGGCGAAGCCUCGAUCUCCGGCAAUUCUUGUCUUCCGAGGCGGCAGCAUCUUCGGUGAGGACUUGAGAAGACAUCUCUGCAACAAGAGAGAGAAAGAGGUAGAAAAAAAGAAGAAGAAGAAUUCAGAUCGGGAAACUGGGAAAGGAGAGAGAGAGAGGGUUAGUUGAAUAGAAGGGAGGAUAAUUUGUCUUUUACUUAAGUUUCAUUGGGAUGGGCUUAUGAAUUAGAUUUUCAUUAAAUCGGGUUCUAGUUUGCUGUUUUGUGUAAAUGGGCAUUUUCCCUAUAUAAAAGGGAUAGGGGGGAUUACUGUUCAAGGAACAGUGUCAUCCCGAAAC
RNAcentral lists this long non-coding RNA (1118 nucleotides) under Fragaria vesca (wild strawberry). RNAcentral describes it as "long non-coding RNA (FVES_LNC004984)". Lineage: Eukaryota; Viridiplantae; Streptophyta; Magnoliopsida; Rosales; Rosaceae. The record is from RNAcentral.